GUGCAGCAGGCGCGAAACCUUUACACUGCACGGAAGUGCGAUAGGGGAAUCCCAAGUGCGAGGGCAUAUUAGCCCUCGCUUUUCUCGACUGUAAGGUGGUCGACGAAUAAGAGCUGGGCAAGACCGGUGCCAGCCGCCGCGGUAAUACCGGCAGCUCAAGUGAUGUCCCAUAUUAUUGGGCCUAAAGCGUCCGUAGCUGGCCGACCAAGUCUACCGGGAAAUCCACCCGCCCAACGGGUGGGCGUCCGGUAGAAACUGGCCGGCUUGGAACCGGAAGGCUCAGAGAGUACGUCCGGGGUAGGAGUGAAAUCCCGUAAUCCCGGACGGACUACCGAUGGCGAAAGCACUCUGAGAAGACGGCUUCGACAGUGAGGGACGAAAGCUCGGGUCUCAAACCGGAUUAGAUACCCGGGUAGUCCGAGCUGUAAACGAUGCUCGUUAGGUGUGGCACCCACUACGAGUGGGUGCUGUGCCGUAGGGAAGCCGCUAAACGAGC
This 496-nucleotide ribosomal RNA is filed under the name uncultured haloarchaeon. Its description in RNAcentral is "SSU rRNA". It matches the Rfam family "Archaeal small subunit ribosomal RNA", at positions 330 to 824 of the family's 1478-position model. Lineage: Archaea; Methanobacteriati; Methanobacteriota; Halobacteria; Halobacteriales; Halobacteriaceae. The record is from RNAcentral.